RNAcentral lists this ribosomal RNA (591 nucleotides) under uncultured bacterium. RNAcentral describes it as "partial 16S ribosomal RNA". It matches the Rfam family "Bacterial small subunit ribosomal RNA", at positions 355 to 1376 of the family's 1533-position model. The record is from RNAcentral.
UGGGGAAUAUUGGACAAUGGGCGCAAGCCUGAUCCAGCAAUGCCGCGUGUGUGAAGAAGGCCUUCGGGUUGUAAAGCACUUUUAUCAGGAGCGAAACGCUGUCGGCUAAUACCCGGCGGAACUGACGGUACCUGAGGAAUAAGCACCGGCUAACUUCGUGCCAGCAGCCGCGGUAAUACGAAGGGUGCAAGCGUUAAUCGGAAUUACUGGGCGUAAAGCGUGCGUAGGCGGUUUCUUAAGUCUGCUGUGAAAUCCCCGGGCUCAACCUGGGAAUGGCAGUGGAUACUGGGAGGCUAGAGUGUGUCAGAGGGUGGUGGAAUUCCCGGUGUGGCGGUGAAAUGCGUAGAGAUCGGGAGGAACAUCAGUGGCGAAGGCGGCCACCUGGGACAACACUGACGCUGAGGCACGAAAGCGUGGGGAGCAAACAGGAUUAGAUACCCUGGUAGUCCACGCCCUAAAAGCGAUGCGAACUGGAUGUUGGUCUCAACUCGGAGAUCAGUGUCGAAGCUAACGCGUUAAGUUCGCCGCCUGGGGGAGUACGGUCGCAAGACUGAAACUCAAAUGAAUUGACGGGGUCAUAGCUGUUUCCUG